This 507-nucleotide ribosomal RNA is filed under the name uncultured bacterium. RNAcentral describes it as "partial 16S ribosomal RNA". It matches the Rfam family "Bacterial small subunit ribosomal RNA", at positions 899 to 1397 of the family's 1533-position model. The record is from RNAcentral.
ACUCAAAUGAAUUGACGGGGGCUCACACAAGCGGUGGAGCAUGUUGCUUAAUUCGAAGCAACGCGAAGAACCUUAUCCUGGGCUUGACAUGCACGGAUUAGUUCGGUGAAAGCCGAAUCACGCCCGCAAGGGUGGAACGUGCACAGGUGCUGCAUGGCUGUCGUCAGCUCGUGCUGUGAAGUGUCGGGUUAAGUCCCUCAACGAGCGCAACCCCUAUUGCUAGUUGCCAGCGCGUCAUGGCGGGAACUCUAGCGAGACUGCCGGUGUCAAACCGGAGGAAGGUGGGGAUGACGUCAAGUCCUCAUGGCCUUUAUGCCCAGGGCUGCAAACGUGCUACAAUGGCGUGCACAAAGCGAUGCGAGGCCGCGAGGCGGAGCAAAUCGCAAAAAACACGCCCCAGUUCGGAUAGCAGGCUGCAAUUCGCCUGCUUGAAGCCGGAAUCGCUAGUAAUCGCGGAUCAGCUACGCCGCGGUGAAUACGUUCCUGAGCCUUGUACACACCGCCCGU